UUCGCAAUGCCCGAAAGGGUGACGAAGCGACGCCGCGUGGGUGAGGAAGGCCCUCGGGUUGUAAAGCCCUGUCAGGAGUUAAGAAAUGCAGGUGUGCUAAUAUCACACCUGCUUGACGAAGGCUCCAAAGGAAGUCACGGCUAACUCUGUGCCAGCAGCCGCCGUAAUACAGAGGUGGCAAGCGUUGUUCGGAAUUAUUGGGCGUAAAGAGCACGUAGGUGGGUUUGUAAGUCAGAUGUGAAAGCCUCCUGUUCAACGGGAGAAUUGCAUCUGAAACUGCGAAUCUUGAGUAUAGGAGGGGAGAAUGGAACUUCUGGUGGAGCGGUGAAAUGCGUAGAUAUCAGAAGGAACGCCGGCGGCGAAAGCGAUUCUCUGGCCUAUUACUGACACUCAGUGUGCGAAAGCUAGGGGAGCAAACGGGAUUAGAUACCCCGGUAGUCCUAGCCGUAAACGAUGGGCACUAAGUAGAGGGGUUUU
RNAcentral lists this ribosomal RNA (477 nucleotides) under Candidatus Scalindua marina (nom. nud.). Its description in RNAcentral is "bacterial SSU rRNA". It matches the Rfam family "Bacterial small subunit ribosomal RNA", at positions 365 to 832 of the family's 1533-position model. The record is from RNAcentral. Lineage: Bacteria; Pseudomonadati; Planctomycetota; Candidatus Brocadiia; Candidatus Brocadiales; Candidatus Scalinduaceae.